RNAcentral lists this transfer RNA (77 nucleotides) under Effusibacillus lacus. RNAcentral's name for it is "tRNA-Leu". It matches the Rfam family "tRNA". Rfam says of the family: Transfer RNA (tRNA) molecules are approximately 80 nucleotides in length. Their secondary structure includes four short double-helical elements and three loops (D, anti-codon, and T loops). The record is from RNAcentral. Lineage: Bacteria; Bacillati; Bacillota; Bacilli; Caryophanales; Alicyclobacillaceae.
GCCGGAGUGAUGGAAUUGGCAUACGUGCGCGACUCAAAAUCGCGAUUUUGUAGGUUCGAGUCCCACUUCCGGCACCA